AAACCGACACAGGUGGGUGAGGAGAGUAUCCUAAGGCCAGCGAGAGAACUGUUGUUAAGGAACUCGGCAAAAUGACCCCGUAACUUAGGGAUAAGGGGUGCCACCAUCAGGUGGCCGCAGAGAAUAGGCCCAAGCGACUGUUUACCAAAAACAUAGGUUUCUGCUAAGUCGCAAGACGAUGUAUAGGAGCUGACGCCUGCCCGGUGCUGGAAGGUUAAGGGGAUCUGUUAGAGCAAUCGAAGCAGUGAACUUAAGCCCCAGUAAACGGCGGCCGUAACUAUAACGGUCCUAAGGUAGCGAAAUUCCUUGUCGGGUAAGUUCCGACCCGCACGAAAGGCGUAACGAUUUGGGCACUGUCUCAACAACAGACUCGGUGAAAUUGUAAUUCCGGUGAAGAUGCCGGAUACCUGCGACAGGACGGAAAGACCCCAUGGAGCUUUACUGUAGCUUGACAUUGGGUCUUGGUACUACAUGUACAGGAUAGGUGGGAGGCUUUGAAACCAGGACGCCAGUUUUGGCGGAGCCAUCCUUGGGAUACCACCCUUGUAGUACUGGGACUCUAACCAUAGACCAUGAAUCUGGUCUUGGGACACUGUCAGGUGGGCAGUGUGACUGGGGCGGUCGCCUCCCAAAAGGUAACGGAGGCGCUCAAAGGUUCUCUCAGUACGGUCGGAAAUCGUACGUAGAGUGUAAAGGCAAAAGAGAGCUUGAUUGCAAGACAUACAGGUCGAGCAAGGAUGAAAAUCGGACUUAGUGAUCCGGUGGUUCUGCGUGGAAGGGCCAUCGCUCAACGGAUAAAAGCUACCCUGGGGAUAACAGGCUUAUCUCCCCCAAGAGUCCACAUCGACGGGGAGGUUUGGCACCUCGAUGUCGGCUCAUCACAUCCUGGGGCUGUAGUAGGUCCCAAGGGUUGGGCUGUUCGCCCAUUAAAGUGGUACGCGAGCUGGGUUCAGAACGUCGUGAGACAGUUCGGUCCCUAUCCGUCGCAGGCGUAGGAAAUUUGAGAAGACCUGUCCUUAGUACGAGAGGACCGGGAUGGACGUACCUCUGGUGUACCAGUUGU
This 1063-nucleotide ribosomal RNA is filed under the name Clostridioides difficile. RNAcentral describes it as "bacterial LSU rRNA". It matches the Rfam family "Bacterial large subunit ribosomal RNA", at positions 1651 to 2724 of the family's 2925-position model. The record is from RNAcentral. Lineage: Bacteria; Bacillati; Bacillota; Clostridia; Peptostreptococcales; Peptostreptococcaceae.